RNAcentral lists this ribosomal RNA (253 nucleotides) under uncultured bacterium. RNAcentral describes it as "partial 16S ribosomal RNA". It matches the Rfam family "Bacterial small subunit ribosomal RNA", at positions 524 to 776 of the family's 1533-position model. The record is from RNAcentral.
GACGAAGGUGGCUAGCGUUGCUCGGAUUUACUGGGCAUAAAGCGCGCGUAGGUGGUCGUGUAAGCGGGGGAUGAAAGCCCAUGGCUCACCCAUGGAACUGUCCCCCGGACUGCACGGCUCGAGGAAGGAAGGGGAGAAUGGAAUUCCCGGUGUAGCGGUGAAAUGCGUAGAUAUCGGGAGGAACGCCGGUGGCGAAAGCGGCGUUCUGGACUGCAACUGACACUGAGGAACGAAAGCCAGGGGAGCAAACGGG